GGUUAGGUUUGGGGGUAGGUUUUAGGCCCCCUGGAUGUCUGGUGCCCAAUUUGGAGAUCCAAAGGAGCUCCGCCCGGUGGCGUUGGGCGAGGCUCCAUUUGGGAUCCGUCUCUACGACAGUCGCCCGGACGGAAGACCACCCGUGUCGGAGAAAAUGCUGAACCAGACUAUGAAGGGCCUCGACUUCUCCACG
Nerophis lumbriciformis (worm pipefish) is the source of this 193-nucleotide non-coding RNA. The record is from RefSeq and is a predicted model, not a curated record. Lineage: Eukaryota; Metazoa; Chordata; Actinopteri; Syngnathiformes; Syngnathidae.